UGGUGGGGGGAGAGGAGCUGAGCGUGGUGGGCUCCAAGUGGGGCACCUGUGAGGCCAUCGAGGGCAGGAGGCCGAUUGAAAUGAGGGUGCUGGGCUUGGGAGCAAGGCCGGGACUUCAGAUCCUGGAGGACCAAGCCUGGCCUGAGCCGCCGCCUGCAGGAAGGGCCGGCAUCCCGGGAGGUUCGGGGAUGCUGCAGGUCAGUGAGGAGCCUCCGGGCUGCAGGCCGAAGAACAGCUGGCAAGAUGCGGCUCUACUGCUGAGGGGUUCGCCUGCCACCCGUGGUGGCUUGCCCAGCAGCAUGCAAUGACGUCAGGACCGUUUGGGUCUGCACUCUUGCCACCCUCGGUGUCCCGCGCAGACAGGACUGCUGUCUGGUCCACGAGAGGCAGUUCUUGCAGGAGCCUUCCCUCGGUGGGCCCCACCUGCCCCGAGUGGCCAGGAGAGGCUCCGACGGUGUGAGUUUGGGGCUGGACGUCUGCUGGCAGAGGCAGGUGUGGGCAAGUGGGUGCCUGCUGGAGAGACACUGGCAGUGCCUGUCACACCCUCGUUUCAGAGGGCAGAGAGAAGACGGACGUGGAGGGGCAAGGUCAGAGAGCAAGAGUGAAGAUGCAGUUUCAGAAAGAAGGUGAAGUGUGGCUUCUUCACAUAUGGCAGCAUCUCCGCAAUAGCCAGGAACAGGCUGCGGACACACGCUGCCCCGGGAGGGAGCUCCCACGUCAUGAGACUUCCCCAAAAGGGCCAGACGUAAGAGGCCACACGCACCGUUACUGUUUAUGUGAAACGUCCAGAAAAGGUGAAGUUAUAUAAAGGGAAGCCUGGACUAAGGGUGGGAACAGGGAUUAGCCGUAAAAUGGAAACGAGUCUUUUGAAGGCGACAGAAAUGUUCUUAAAACUGGAUCAAUGGGUGCCCAACACUGAAGGUUCACUACAAACCCUUGGAUGGUGUGCCUCAAACAGGUGAAUUUUAUGGUAUGUAAAUUAUACUGUGACAGAGCGGCUAAAAAAAGGAAGAAGGUAAUUUAGUCGCCAGUGCUACAUGUUGCAGAGAGAGUGAGCAAGCCCGGAAGAGGCUGUGUUCAGCGCUGCCAGGCAGCGGGUCCUGUGCAGAGAGCAGGGCCAGCGCCAGAGGUGAGGCACCUGGCCUGCCAGGUGGGCCACUUAAACCAGGACAAGAGCAUCUUUCUCUCAUAUUCGUGUUUUAAAGCUGAAGAAUUUCCCUGUUGGAUUUGGAAACAGUAGGACUUUGGGGGGUCAAAGUUUCCUACAACCAACCUAAUAACCAUAAAAGCCUUAGAGAAAUGGAGAGUCCUAGCAAGUCAAAAACCCUGUGUGUCGCAUGAUUGAUAGAAGUACGGCUUACUUACUAUGGAUAAAAACCAGAACGUUCUGGGGUAGGAAGGAGGCAGGGAGAGGCCAGCUGGCAGGAAGGGAGCCUGUGGAGACUCUGGAUGGCGAGCAAAAGUUGUGCACCUUGUGGGGGGUGAUUACACAGGUGCAUACAAUUGUGAAAACGAAUCCAGCUGUGCUCUAAGAACUGUGGGUGAAUUAUGCCUCAAAGAGCAUGGAGGACACCCGAGCUGCACACAGAAUGCUGAAUUAGAAGAAUGCAGAGAAAGUGGUUUCUGAGGCUGCACCAGGAAAGGUGAUGCAGUCCUGCCUUGCUUAUGGGGACAAAGACUGGUGCUUGGAACCCUGAGCCGCCACCCCACGCUGGAACGAGGCUCAGCCCCCCCCCCCCUCCUGGUCUCUAAGUCCUUCCAGCCUAAUGGCCCGACCUGUGACCGAACAAACCUUUAGGUGACUCUAGCCCCCGCCCUUGGGUCUUUCCAGCUGAGCCCCCAGACACCACGUGGUGGUAGCAUCAGGGAGCAGCCCUGUGAGCGGCCUUGGGAGGAGCGCAGCUCCAGACAGCAUCCAAGGGCAUCCAGUGGGGCCCGUAAGUGACAGCUGCCAGGUCAAACCGGUCCUAAAUUCUUGACCUUUCAAUUGUGAGAAAAUAAAAUUGAUGUUUCAAGCUA
Suricata suricatta (meerkat) is the source of this 2019-nucleotide long non-coding RNA. RefSeq lists it as uncharacterized. NCBI's taxonomy places the organism in Eukaryota, Metazoa, Chordata, Mammalia, Carnivora, Herpestidae. The record is from RefSeq and is a predicted model, not a curated record. The transcript has 2 exons.